CUUCGUUAUCUUUUCUUUUCCUCGGUAAUGGUUUAACGAUGUAAUCUCAGCUCUCACAGCCCGCCUUGAUCCAAAAUUCUUGGCCGGCUCUUCUUUCUCUUUAUUUUUUAUUCAUUUCUCUGCUCUGUAUGAAUUGAAAAUGGUUUCCAAUUCUCAGAAGAAAAACCUUCACUCUGUAUUAUCCAGCAACCUCAAAAAGCUCUCAAUAACGCCUCCCAACCCUACCUCUGACUUCGACUUCUCUGAAGUAUUUGGCCCGCUUACCCCACACCCAAACCAAUCACAAUCUCCUUCAACAUCCGCCUCAUCUUCUUCCUCCUCUGCUUUUAUCAGGGACCCAC
RNAcentral lists this unclassified non-coding RNA (341 nucleotides) under Hevea brasiliensis (rubber tree). The record is from RNAcentral. Lineage: Eukaryota; Viridiplantae; Streptophyta; Magnoliopsida; Malpighiales; Euphorbiaceae.